GCCCGCUUGAUGGAAUGGUAGACAUAACGGACUUAAAAUCCGUGCGCUUCGGCGGUGCGAGUUCGAGUCUCGCAGCGGGCACCA
RNAcentral lists this transfer RNA (84 nucleotides) under mine drainage metagenome. RNAcentral's name for it is "tRNA-Leu". It matches the Rfam family "tRNA". From Rfam's summary of the family: Transfer RNA (tRNA) molecules are approximately 80 nucleotides in length. The record is from RNAcentral.